ACUGCUCAGUAACACGUGGACAACCUACCCUGAGGUCGGGGAUAAACCCGGGAAACUGGGUAUAAUACCCGAUAGAUCUAGAUCGCUGGAAUGCUUUUAGGUCUAAAGUUCCGACGCCUCAGGAUGGGUCUGCGGCCUAUCAGGGUAGUAGUGGGUGUAAAGUACCUACUAGCCCACGACGGGUACGGGUUGUGAGAGCAAGAGCCCGGAGAUGGAUUCUGAGACACGAAUCCAGGCCCUACGGGGUGCAGCAGGCGCGAAACCUUUACAAUGCUGGCAACAGCGAUAAGGGGACCUCGAGUGCUACGAUACAAUCGUGGCUGUCUAGUUGCCUAAAAAGCAAUUGAUAGCAAGGGCCGGGCAAGACCGGUGCCAGCCGCCGCGGUAACACCGGCGGCUCGAGUGGUAACCGCUAUUAUUGGGUCUAAAGGGUCUGUAGCCGGCUUAGUUAGUCUCUUGAGAAAUCUGGCCGCUCAACGGUCAGGCGUUCAGGGGAUACUGCUAAAGCUCGAGACCGGGAGAGGUGAGAGGUACUUCAGGGGUAGGGGUGAAAUCUUGUAAUCCUUGAAGGACCACCAGUGGCGAAGGCGUCUCACCAGAACGGAUCUGACGGCAAGGGACGAAAGCUAGGGGCACGAACCGGAUUAGAUACCCGGGUAGUCCUAGCCGUAAACGAUACUCGCUAGGUGUCGGCCACGGUGCGACCGUGGUCGGUGCCGUAGGGAAGCCGUGAAGCGAGCCACCUGGGAAGUACGGCCGCAAGGCUGAAACUUAAAGGAAUUGGCGGGGGAGCAC
RNAcentral lists this ribosomal RNA (795 nucleotides) under uncultured archaeon. Its description in RNAcentral is "bacterial SSU rRNA". It matches the Rfam family "Archaeal small subunit ribosomal RNA", at positions 85 to 879 of the family's 1478-position model. The record is from RNAcentral.